GUAACAAGGUCUCCGUUGGUGAACCAGCGGAGGGAUCAUUACCGAGUUAUACAACUCAUCAACCCUGUGAACAUACCUAAAACGUUGCUUCGGCGGGAACAGACGGCCCUGUAACAACGGGCCGCCCCCGCCAGAGGACCCCUAACUCUGUUUUUAUAAUGUUUUUCUGAGUAAACAAGCAAAUAAAUUAAAACUUUCAACAACGGAUCUCUUGGCUCUGGCAUCGAUGAAGAACGCAGCGAAAUGCGAUAAGUAAUGUGAAUUGCAGAAUUCAGUGAAUCAUCGAAUCUUUGAACGCACAUUGCGCCCGCCAGUAUUCUGGCGGGCAUGCCUGUUCGAGCGUCAUUACAACCCUCAGGCCCCCGGGCCUGGCGUUGGGGAUCGGCGGAAGCCCCCUGUGGGCACACGCCGUCCCUCAAAUACAGUGGCGGUCCCGCCGCAGCUUCCAUUGCGUAGUAGCUAACACCUCGCAACUGGAGAGCGGCGCGGCCAUGCCGUAAAACACCCAACUUCUGAAUGUUGACCUCGAAUCAGGUAGGAAUACCCGCUGAACUUAAGCAUAUCA
Molecule: small RNA, 565 nt
Filed under: Fusarium solani
Lineage: Eukaryota; Fungi; Ascomycota; Sordariomycetes; Hypocreales; Nectriaceae
Description: eukaryotic LSU rRNA
Rfam family: 5.8S ribosomal RNA (bases 192-345)
Source: RNAcentral